This 245-nucleotide ribosomal RNA is filed under the name uncultured archaeon. RNAcentral describes it as "partial 16S ribosomal RNA". It matches the Rfam family "Archaeal small subunit ribosomal RNA", at positions 474 to 718 of the family's 1478-position model. The record is from RNAcentral.
CACCAGCGCCUCGAGUGGGGAUCGCGAUUAUUGGGUCUAAAGCGUCCGUAGCAGGCCUUGUAAAUGCUUUGUGAAAUCGGCAGGCAUAACCUGUCGGCGUGCAGAGUAGACUGUAGGGCUUGAGAUCGGGAGAGGUUAGAAGUAUUCUUUGGGUACCGGUAAAAUGGGUUAAUCCAGAGAGGACUACCUAUGGCGAAGGCAUCUGACCAGAACGAUUCUGACUGUGAGGGACGAAAGCUAGGGGA